This is a non-coding RNA of Podarcis muralis (Common wall lizard), 1942 nucleotides long. The record is from RefSeq and is a predicted model, not a curated record. Lineage: Eukaryota; Metazoa; Chordata; Lepidosauria; Squamata; Lacertidae.
CCCAACAGUUACCUGACACCGUUGAAUCGAAAAUCAUCCCCAGCAGCCAGACAAAGCUUCUGAAUGACAAAAAUGCCACGCCAGGGAAAAGCAGAAGCAAGCUCAACCUUCUGGAAGAGGAGAGCCAGAGCACAGGGGUCUGACCCGCUAGAGGAUUUGGGGGCAAGGGGUCUCGGGAGGCCCCCUCUGAAAUCUCGGUCGCCUUCUCCUGGAGUCCACCCGUCCUUCCGAGGAACCUUUCCCUUUGGCUCCUGUGUCCCAGAGAGACUCCUGGAACUGUGAGGAAACUGGCCAGCAGCCUCUUGGGUUGCUUCUGGUGCUCUGACCCGGCUGCAGCACCCAGGACGUCCUCUGAGCAGCACUUGACGGACAAAGGGUGGUUGAGUUUGGGGGGGGCGGGAAUCUCUAAGACUGUGAACGGCAGAGAACAGCCACCCUGUGCCUACGGACUGGAUUACUUUUGCGGGAGUCGGUGUGAGCAGGGACCGGCAAGGGUGUCAUUGCAACAGCGUUCCCUCUGCUCCACUGACUGUGUUGAUCUUUUCCUCCCCACGUGCAACAGAUCUCCCUUCCACCCAGAGGUCUCAUGUGUACAUUCCACCCACCCUCCAGGCACACUUCAGUUUGUUAGUCCCCACACCAGGCUUUCACUGGUGGCUCCAGCGCUUGGCUCUGGGGCACCCCCACCCACCAGCCUCCCUCUGCAGCUCUUGCGCUUCCUGCCUUGGACUGUAGCUGCACCCAGCCGCCAUGCCAGGCCUGACUCCAGGACCUGAAACUUGCUCCUCCCACAUUCCAAGCACACCCGCCUUGCUGGUCUUCUGAACGCCAGCGCCAGGCUCCAAGGGCAUUUGAAGCAGCCGUGAGUCUCACCUGGCGCCAGGCAGGGCAUCAAACCAUCCUCCCCAAAUUGUGCCAAAGUCCACACUCCCUAGAGCUCUGUCUUGCCAGGAUUGCACUGCUCGCCCUCUUUCCAGAAAGUGGGUCCCCAUAGCGAUCAGGUGGUGGGCUCUGUCUGUGCCAACCCAGGAAAUGCUGCUAUUCUGCCAAGCAACCCUUCCUUCCCAGAGGAUGCCUGUCUCCUGGCCACUUUCACCUAAAGUUUCAUUCUCUUCCCCCUUGCUUUGCGUCUCUAGUUCUUCAAUCCAACACAGGUUUAAAAAACAGUUUGCGCAGGUGGGAACUGGGGCGGGAGCCAUUCCGACCCCGUGCUGGUGUUUCCCAAAUACUGGCGUUUAAGUGACUCCUCACGUAAGCUGUUGAGUGGUUGGGGAUGGGACAACAGGAUUUGGCCCAUCAAUCUGCCGGCAUUCCAGGCACUGAGUCUCCCACCUUGUGAAUGCUUGCAGUGCAUGGAGGAUCUGCAGCAUUUUGCUGCAGUUUACCCAAGAAGGCCUGCUGGGUGGAAGGAAGUCCUCAAGGACCGCCAUUCCUCCUCUAACUGCUCCUUCUGGCUCCUUGUCUUCGUGCUUAGAAGAGCAGCUGCUGUUGCAUUUCCCUCUGGACUAGCCUUCCCCAGCCUGUGCACUUCAGAUGUUUUGCACUACACCUUCCCAUCAGCCCCAUGCGGCACGGCUCCUGCUCAAUGGCUGAUGGGAGCAGGAGUCCAGCACAACUGGAGGGCACCAGGUGGAGAAGGCUGGUCUCGGCUGUCCUCCUUGGCUGCCGGGUUCUGGCUGGAGAGGCAGCACAGGAUGCUAUGCUUGCCCUCCACGCUAGCUUGGGCAGAGAGAAACAGUCCCCCCACCCUUAGUUGCUACUUACAGUAUUCCCCCACUGGAGUUCUUGUUUUUAAAAUGAAAUAAAGGACUGAAGAGCAAGAGAGGGAAAGAGAGAAAGUUGGUUUCCCUUUCUCCCUCUCUCGUCCUCUCCCUGUCCAUAACCAACAGCAGAAGUUGUCUAAAAGCAAUGUAUAAUUUCAGGUAAAUUAUUUGUAACCUGA